UCGUGUAAACUUCCGUCUGGAACAUUUCCUGACCUGCGCAGUGGUGGAAUGAUUGAAAAUGGCUUCCAGGAGCUGCAACGAAGGGUGUGUCUCUACUGAAGAGGGGCUGGCAUGAAAUUCCAGAGAUUAUGUGUUGUUUAGGAAUGAUUGGACUUGGAACUUGUUUUGUGGGAAUUGGCUACGCUGUUUAUGACAGAGACAUACAUCAUCGAUACAGAAUGGAGUACACAGUUGUUCGCGACACAGAUGUCAAAAAGAAUCUUUUAGCUAAAAAUGUGUACAAUUAGAAAAAGAAACAGUCUUUAAUCUUGUGACUUUGUGCUCCCAUAAUAUAACCAUUACAAGAUGAAAAGAAAGCUUAACAGAAAAGAAACAGAGGUGUAAAGAAAGAAAAGUGUCUUGAAAUGUGUUUUGAUUGGAAUAAAAUGGUUUGACAAGAUU
Molecule: long non-coding RNA, 441 nt
Organism: Pomacea canaliculata
Lineage: Eukaryota; Metazoa; Mollusca; Gastropoda; Architaenioglossa; Ampullariidae
Exons: 4
Source: RefSeq, a predicted model, not a curated record